RNAcentral lists this ribosomal RNA (301 nucleotides) under uncultured bacterium. RNAcentral describes it as "partial 16S ribosomal RNA". It matches the Rfam family "Bacterial small subunit ribosomal RNA", at positions 509 to 807 of the family's 1533-position model. The record is from RNAcentral.
CAGCAGCCGCGGUAAUACGUAGGGUGCGAGCGUUAACCGGAAUUACUGGGCGUAAAGCGUGCGCAGGCGGUUAUAUAAGACAGAUGUGAAAUCCCCGGGCUCAACCUGGGACCUGCAUUUGUGACUGUAUAGCUAGAGUACGGUAGAGGGGGAUGGAAUUCCGCGUGUAGCAGUGAAAUGCGUAGAUAUGCGGAGGAACACCAAUGGCGAAGGCAAUCCCCUGGACCUGUACUGACGCUCAUGCACGAAAGCGUGGGGAGCAAACAUGAUUAGAUACCCCGGUAGUCCCUGUCUCUUAUAC